GAGUUUGAUCCUGGCUCAGGAUGAACGCUGGCGGCGUGCUUAACACAUGCAAGUCGAACGAAGCGCCUUAUUUGAUUUUCUUCGGAACUGAAGAUUUGGUGACUGAGUGGCGGACGGGUGAGUAACGCGUGGGUAACCUGCCCUGUACAGGGGGAUAACAAUCAGAAAUGACUGCUAAUACCGCAUAAGACCACAGCACCGCAUGGUGCAGGGGUAAAAACUCCGGUGGUACAGGAUGGACCCGCGUCUGAUUAGCUGGUUGGUGAGGUAACGGCUCACCAAGGCGACGAUCAGUAGCCGGCUUGAGAGAGUGAACGGCCACAUUGGGACUGAGACACGGCCCAAACUCCUACGGGAGGCAGCAGUGGGGAAUAUUGCACAAUGGGGGAAACCCUGAUGCAGCAACGCCGCGUGAGUGAAGAAGUAUUUCGGUAUGUAAAGCUCUAUCAGCAGGGAAGAAAGUGACGGUACCUGACUAAGAAGCCCCGGCUAACUACGUGCCAGCAGCCGCCGUAAGACCG
This 521-nucleotide ribosomal RNA is filed under the name uncultured microorganism. Its description in RNAcentral is "bacterial SSU rRNA". It matches the Rfam family "Bacterial small subunit ribosomal RNA", at positions 9 to 527 of the family's 1533-position model. The record is from RNAcentral.